Molecule: unclassified non-coding RNA, 181 nt
Filed under: uncultured fungus
Lineage: Eukaryota; Fungi
Description: sequence contains ITS1
Source: RNAcentral
GUUUUUUGAAUUAUAUUUAUUCAUAAUAUUUUUCAGACAAAGAGUUAAAAAAUAAAGGUUGAUGUUUGGUCGAUCUCCAUGAAGAAGAUCGACUGACAUUGCACACAAGGUGGAUAUGGAUUUAAAAAGUGCCAUAAAACACUUAUUAUGAAUGAUCCUUCCGCAGGUUCACCUACGGAAA